Long non-coding RNA from Spinacia oleracea (spinach), 550 nucleotides. RefSeq lists it as uncharacterized. The record is from RefSeq and is a predicted model, not a curated record. Lineage: Eukaryota; Viridiplantae; Streptophyta; Magnoliopsida; Caryophyllales; Amaranthaceae. The transcript has 6 exons.
AGGUUAAGGCUAAUCAUGUGAACUAAAACAAAUGUUGAACUAUUUUGAUAAGGUUUACAAAGCCAGCAGUGGCCUCAAGAUUGCUGUUGAACUUUGUGGUGAGCUAAAACUGAUUAAUUGUGCAUAAUAAUUUCUAGUAGCAGUAAUUGAACUAUUUUGGUCGCUGAUCUCAAAAGAGGUUAAGGCUAAUCACCCAAAGAUUAUCAGCUUGCUGGGGUUGUUGCGGUUGAAGUCACAGGAGGGCCAACCAUCGACUUUGUUCCAGGAAGAAUGGAUUGCGCAGAUUCUCCUGAUGAAGGACGCCUUCCUGAUGCAAAUCAAGGUGCCGGACAUUUGAGAGAAAUCUUUUACAGAAUGGGGCUUUCUGACAAGGAUAUUGUCGCGCUUUCAGGAGGCCACACUCUGGUAUAUUUAUCACCAUUUGAUGGGACAUGAAGUCGAGAUGCAGGUGGUUUGAAAUACUUUGCCUCGUCGAUUUGGCGCUCCAGGUCUUCCAGAGUUGAAUGCAUCUCAGCUACAAUAAUCGGGCAAUUAUGGAGGCUGCUCAAGU